This 587-nucleotide ribosomal RNA is filed under the name uncultured bacterium. Its description in RNAcentral is "bacterial SSU rRNA". It matches the Rfam family "Bacterial small subunit ribosomal RNA", at positions 900 to 1489 of the family's 1533-position model. The record is from RNAcentral.
CUCAAAUGAAUUGACGGGGGCCCGCACAAGCGGUGGAGCAUGUGGUUUAAUUCGAUGCAACGCGAAGAACCUUACCUGGUCUUGACAUCCACAGAACUUUCCAGAGAUGGAUUGGUGCCUUCGGGAACUGUGAGACAGGUGCUGCAUGGCUGUCGUCAGCUCGUGUUGUGAAAUGUUGGGUUAAGUCCCGCAACGAGCGCAACCCUUAUCCUUUGUUGCCAGCGGUCCGGCCGGGAACUCAAAGGAGACUGCCAGUGAUAAACUGGAGGAAGGUGGGGAUGACGUCAAGUCAUCAUGGCCCUUACGACCAGGGCUACACACGUGCUACAAUGGUUGGUACAACGAGUUGCGAGUCGGUGACGGCGAGCUAAUCUCUUAAAGCCAAUCUCAGUUCGGAUUGUAGGCUGCAACUCGCCUACAUGAAGUCGGAAUCGCUAGUAAUCGCGGAUCAGCACGCCGCGGUGAUACGUUCCCGGGCCUUGUACACACCGCCCGUCACACCACGAGAGUUUGUACACCCGAAGUCGGUGAGGUAACCUUAUGGAGCCAGCCGCCUAAGGUGGGAUAGAUGAUUGGGGUGAAGUCGU